This 692-nucleotide ribosomal RNA is filed under the name Bacillus altitudinis. RNAcentral's name for it is "bacterial SSU rRNA". It matches the Rfam family "Bacterial small subunit ribosomal RNA", at positions 647 to 1339 of the family's 1533-position model. Lineage: Bacteria; Bacillati; Bacillota; Bacilli; Caryophanales; Bacillaceae. The record is from RNAcentral.
UGCAGAAGAGGAGAGUGGAAUUCCACGUGUAGCGGUGAAAUGCGUAGAGAUGUGGAGGAACACCAGUGGCGAAGGCGACUCUCUGGUCUGUAACUGACGCUGAGGAGCGAAAGCGUGGGGAGCGAACAGGAUUAGAUACCCUGGUAGUCCACGCCGUAAACGAUGAGUGCUAAGUGUUAGGGGGUUUCCGCCCCUUAGUGCUGCAGCUAACGCAUUAAGCACUCCGCCUGGGGAGUACGGUCGCAAGACUGAAACUCAAAGGAAUUGACGGGGGCCCGCACAAGCGGUGGAGCAUGUGGUUUAAUUCGAAGCAACGCGAAGAACCUUACCAGGUCUUGACAUCCUCUGACAACCCUAGAGAUAGGGCUUUCCCUUCGGGGACAGAGUGACAGGUGGUGCAUGGUUGUCGUCAGCUCGUGUCGUGAGAUGUUGGGUUAAGUCCCGCAACGAGCGCAACCCUUGAUCUUAGUUGCCAGCAUUCAGUUGGGCACUCUAAGGUGACUGCCGGUGACAAACCGGAGGAAGGUGGGGAUGACGUCAAAUCAUCAUGCCCCUUAUGACCUGGGCUACACACGUGCUACAAUGGACAGAACAAAGGGCUGCGAGACCGCAAGGUUUAGCCAAUCCCACAAAUCUGUUCUCAGUUCGGAUCGCAGUCUGCAACUCGACUGCGUGAAGCUGGAAUCGCUAGU